AAGGUUCAAGAACUUCCUGAAAUGUCUAGUCCUCCCUGCCUCUCUGGUGCUUGACCAAGGGCUCCUGAGCUGUUGUGUGCUAGUGGACUGCAAAUGUGGUUCAUGGGAGGCUGAGGAACUAUGGGCUGAAACCCAUGGUUUGUAUGGCCCUGUUUCUCUGUUCCCAGGCUUGCAGCCCCAUCCCUAGCAUCACAUGGGAAAAAUCUCCUCCAGAUAGGCUGAGGACAGUCUGUCCAGGAGGCCCUGCAUAGGCUAGAGUCUCCAAAUGCCCAAGGACAGCCCAAGGGAUACUUUUACUACUUAUCCAACACUCCCCCAGCUUUUCUGAUGCUGGUAUCUCAAGGUCCGUGCAUUCCAUUCCUGAUACGGAAACCUUCAGCAUGCCAGCCAGCCCCAGGGACAGAGUGACCCAUCUGCCUACUUGGAGUCAGAGACCCAAAUGGAGAUCUGUCUCAGCUGAAGGACACAAGCUGAAAGUCUGCAUUGCAGGCAGCGGAGCUUCAAUCAGUUCGGAGACUUGACCUGGAUGAGCGUACAUUUCCUUGUGUGAUGAACUCUGCAUUGCCAGUCUUGUCUGGUCAGAGAUGCAGUUCCUGAUGUUGUCACUUGUUGUUGUCUCCCAAAGUUAAAAGAAAAUCCUCGAGUUCAGUACACCAAA
This is a long non-coding RNA of Peromyscus eremicus (cactus mouse), 658 nucleotides long. RefSeq lists it as uncharacterized. Lineage: Eukaryota; Metazoa; Chordata; Mammalia; Rodentia; Cricetidae. The transcript is spliced from 2 exons. The record is from RefSeq and is a predicted model, not a curated record.